RNAcentral lists this long non-coding RNA (266 nucleotides) under Gallus gallus (chicken). Lineage: Eukaryota; Metazoa; Chordata; Aves; Galliformes; Phasianidae. The record is from RNAcentral.
ACCAAGGCAGCAUGGACCCGAGAGCAAGACUGGUGGUCAAUGGUAAAAUCGCACAGAUCAGGAUUCCUCCCAAAGAGAUAGUAUUUCUUCUCAUCAAUGAUGAGUUUCUCAAUGAGUUUGUCUCCUUUGACUACAUCCAAAUGUAAGCCAGGUGGAGGUUUUCCUGCCCAGCUGGGGCACUCGAAGAGCGAGAGGCCGCCGCCGCCUCCGGCCGAGUUCGCGUUCGCCGCCAUCUUGCAUCUGCCCCAUUCAGGCGGGCCGGGGGC